GGAUAUCCCAGCUCACAGCGCUCCUUCACCACUAUUACCCAAUUGAGAUCGACCCACACCGGACCGUCAAGGAGAAGCUACCUCAUAUGGUGGAAUGGUGGACCAAAGCGCACAAUCUCCUAUGUCAGCAGAAGAUUCAGAAGUUUCAGAUAGCCCAGGUGGUUAGAGAGUCCAAUGCAAUGCUCAGGGAGGGAUAUAAGACCUUCUUCAACACACUCUACCAUAACAACAUUCCCCUUUUCAUCUUUUCUGCGGGCAUUGGUGAUAUCCUGGAAGAAAUUAUCCGACAGAUGAAAGUGUUCCACCCCAACAUCCACAUCGUGUCUAACUACAUGGAUUUUAAUGAAGAUGGUUUUCUCCAGGGAUUUAAGGGCCAGCUCAUACACACAUACAACAAGAACAGCUCUGCGUGUGAGAACUCUGGUUACUUCCAGCAACUUGAGGGCAAAACCAAUGUCAUCCUGCUGGGAGACUCUAUCGGGGACCUCACCAUGGCCGAUGGGGUUCCUGGUGUGCAGAACAUUCUCAAAAUUGGCUUCCUGAAUGACAAGGUGGAGGAGCGGCGGGAGCGCUACAUGGACUCCUAUGACAUCGUGCUGGAGAAGGACGAGACUCUGGAUGUGGUCAACGGGCUACUGCAGCACAUCCUGUGCCAGGGGGUCCAGCUGGAGAUGCAAGGUCCCUGAAGGCGCAGGCUCCAGCCCGGCCUGCAGGCCGUGGUGAGGAGGGGCGCCUCCCCAGAGUCCGCUCCCCCGUGAACACAGAGCAGAGGCCAGGGUGGCCAGCAGUGGCUGGGUCCUUCCGCGCCCCUCCGUCCUCCUUUCCCUGAGCACCUUCAUCACCAGAGGCUUGAAGGAACCCCGCCAUGUGGCAGGGCACAGGCACUGUUCCUGGUGAACCUUGGACCACAGCAUGUCAGUGCUCUAGGGAUUGUCUACUCCAGGGAUUUUCUUCAAAAUUUUUAAACAUGGGAAGUUCAAACAAAUAUAAUGUGUGAAACAGAUCAAAAUUUUUAAAAUGAAAAAAAA
RNAcentral lists this small RNA (1028 nucleotides) under Pan troglodytes (chimpanzee). Its description in RNAcentral is "retained intron". The record is from RNAcentral. Lineage: Eukaryota; Metazoa; Chordata; Mammalia; Primates; Hominidae.